Molecule: non-coding RNA, 25 nt
Filed under: Rattus norvegicus (Norway rat)
Lineage: Eukaryota; Metazoa; Chordata; Mammalia; Rodentia; Muridae
Source: RNAcentral
UACAUUUUGCAUUUCUCUGCCCGUU